This 484-nucleotide ribosomal RNA is filed under the name uncultured bacterium. RNAcentral's name for it is "partial 16S ribosomal RNA". It matches the Rfam family "Bacterial small subunit ribosomal RNA", at positions 30 to 523 of the family's 1533-position model. The record is from RNAcentral.
AUUGAACGCUGGCGGCGUGCCUAAUACAUGCAAGUCGAACGAGGUGCCCUUGUAGCAAUACGAGGGUAUCCUAGUGGCGAACGGGUGAGUAAUGCGUUGGUGACCUGCCCCAAAGUGUGGGAUAACAGUCCGAAAGGAUUGCUAAUACCGCAUGUGGUCAUUGGAUCUAGAAACCGAUGACUAAAGGAGUAAUCCGCUUUGGGAGGGGCCUGCGUCCCAUCAGCUAGUUGGUAGGGUAACGGCCUACCAAGGCUACGACGGGUAGGGGACCUGAGAGGGUGACCCCCCACAAUGGAACUGAAACACGGUCCAUACACCUACGGGUGGCAGCAGUAGGGAAUAUUGCACAAUGGGGGCAACCCUGAUGGAGCAACGCCGCGUGCAGGAUGAAUGCCUUCGGGUUGUAAACUGCUUUUAUUAGUGACGAUUAUGACGGUAACUAAUGAAUAAGGACCUGCUAACUACGUGCCAGCCGCCGCCGUAA